AGAUUAAGUUAUUAAGGGCGCACGGUGGAUGCCUUGGCACUAGAAGCCGAUGAAGGACGUUACUAACGACGAUAUGCUUUGGGUAGCUGUAAGUAAGCGUUGAUCCAGAGAUUUCCGAAUGGGGGAACCCAGCAUGAGUUAUGUCAUGUUAUCGACAUGUGAAUUCAUAGCAUGUCAGAAGGCAGACCCGGAGAACUGAAACAUCUUAGUACCCGGAGGAAGAGAAAGAAAAAUCGAUUCCCUGAGUAGCGGCGAGCGAAACGGGAAGAGCCCAAACCAACAAGCUUGCUUGUUGGGGUUGUAGGACACUCUAUACGGAGUUACAAAAGAACAUGUUAGACGAAUCAUCUGGAAAGAUGAAUCAAAGAAGGUAAUAAUCCUGUAGUCGAAAAUAUAUUCUCUCUUGAGUGGAUCCUGAGUACGACGGAGCACGUGAAAUUCCGUCGGAAUCUGGGAGGACCAUCUCCUAAGGCUAAAUACUCUCUAGUGACCGAUAGUGAACCAGUACCGUGAGGGAAAGGUGAAAAGUACCCCGGAAGGGGAGUGAAAGAGAACUUGAAACCGUGUGCUUACAAGUAGUCAGAGCCCGUUAAUGGGUGAUGGCGUGCCUUUUGUAGAAUGAACCGGCGAGUUACGAUCUGAUGCAAGGUUAAGCAGCAAAUGUGGAGCCGCAGCGAAAGCGAGUCUGAAU
This 691-nucleotide ribosomal RNA is filed under the name Staphylococcus epidermidis. RNAcentral's name for it is "bacterial LSU rRNA". It matches the Rfam family "Bacterial large subunit ribosomal RNA", at positions 1 to 688 of the family's 2925-position model. Lineage: Bacteria; Bacillati; Bacillota; Bacilli; Caryophanales; Staphylococcaceae. The record is from RNAcentral.